GGUUCCGUGGCGUAGUGGUUAUCGCAUCUGCUUUACACGCAGAAGGCGCCCGGUUCGAUCCCGGCCGGCAUCA
Ctenocephalides felis (cat flea) is the source of this 73-nucleotide non-coding RNA. The record is from the annotation of a RefSeq genome assembly. Lineage: Eukaryota; Metazoa; Arthropoda; Insecta; Siphonaptera; Pulicidae.